GUACAUACACACAAGUUUGACGGUUGGGUUGUUCAAAUUAGUUCUGUAAAUUGUGUAUCCAGUCAAAACAACGUGUUCAACAAACAUUUAAAGUUUAUUCUAUACUUCUGUUAAGUAGAACAUAAGAUUUUAUGGUGACUGCUAAUGUAAACAUUUUAAAUUGAUGAUCGGGUUCGUUUAAUGUAUCCAUCUAGGGUUGAUGAGCAUCCUUGCAAAAAAUAAUCAAAAUUAUAGCGAAAAUAAUUGUUAAAUCGUGAUGAUAUGUUCUAACCAUCAAAGAAUUUCGUCUUGUUACCUAAUCCUCAAAAGUUUGUUUUUGGAGAAUUUGGUGUAUGCUCAGAGUAUAUACCAACAAGUUUGACAAUUGGAUCUUAGAGUUUAUUAUAUACUUCUGUUAAGUAGAACGUAAGAUUUUGUGGUAACUGCUAGUCUAAAUAUAUUAACUUGAUGAUCGGGUCUAUUCAUUGUAUUCUUCUAGGGUUGAUGAGUAUCCUUGCAAAAACUCAUCAAAAUCAGAGCUAAAAUAAUUGUUAAACCGUGAGAAUAUGUUUCUAGCCGUCGAAGGAAUUCGUCUCGCUACCUAAUUAUCGAAACUUGCAUUUAGAUGAGUUUUGGCAUAUGCCAUCUCGAAGUAUAUACCAACUACAUUGACGAUUGGAUUGUUGAAAUUAAUUUUGCAGAUUGUGAAAAACAUCGAAGGAAUUGGAUAUACCAAAAUGUCCCUCACCUUUGCCUGAUAGAAAAUUUAGUUUUGCCUAAUGAACGUUAAACCCUAAUCCCUAAAUCGUGAAAUAUACCUUUGCCCGAUUAAAAACCAACCCAGUGGGCUGGUCAAUCUCAUAAAUCUUCUCGUCCGGCAAACCAGAGACGGACGACCACGGUCCCGACCUUAUUAGCACCGAAGGUAUACAAAUCAACGAACCCCAAAACCUACUUUCUUUUCUAACAAAAUCAACCAAGCCUAACCGGUCACGACAUGUUGUUGAUAUUGAUUGAGUUUGGAAUGUUGACCACUUUUACCCACGAACUUUUUUAAUAUGUCGAAAGUUACUUUAUCCAAUGAAAUAUGAUUUGUAGGGAAAAUGGUAAUUUCUGGUAGUGACACUUACUCUUUUUGGAGCAAAAUGUGUGAUUAUUUGUCCUUUUUGGAUACACAACAUUGAUUUAAAAGAAAUUGAAGCUCCAUGAUGAGUUAUUUUUAUUCAUAUAGUGCAAAUGUAGCUUCAACGUUAGCCCAUAAAUGGGUCUCAAAUUCACAACGCAUCAAUUUAAUGAAGAACCUGAAGGUCAAAUAAUCUGAAAGCAUAAAAAAAAAUAUGGCGUAAUAUUGAGAAAAUUGGAAUAUAUGAUCAAUUUUGUAAAUCAACUAAAACCUGAAAGUGUAAAAUGUGACUAGUCUAAAAAAUAAUGAUUAGCUAAUUACAAUCUUUGCUAUUGCAAUUAGAAUCCAUUUAGAAUUUCUACUUAGUAGGAGGGGGAAAAUGGAGACCAACUUAUAUUUAACUUGUUAUUGCACAUUAAAUCUCCUUCAAUAAAUUAAUGAUAUGUGUAAAUUUCUGAACACAUAUCAUUAGUUUAUUGAAUAAAGUCGUUAUGAUAAGUGGUAAAUCUAUUUUAGAUGUCUUUUAUAGGAAGAAGUAGUGUUCACACUCACACUCAAUAUUGGAUCAGAAAUAGUUACCAUGCAUCAUAAACAGAUUAGGUAAUGCAGCCAAAAGUUCUCUUCUCUUAUAACUCUGUCAAGUCCCAACUCAAAUAUAGCUGGUAUCCUAUGGUAGUACGUGAACCGCAUUUGUUGUCCAAUAAAUCAAAGAGUAAUGUUAAAGAGACUAAAUUUGUAGACAAAGUUUUAAAAACAAAUAGACAUGGAAGUUGAUAAUUAGUUUAUCACUUAAACGUUGAUAAACAUACUCAUUACUA
Molecule: long non-coding RNA, 1920 nt
Filed under: Malus domestica (apple)
Lineage: Eukaryota; Viridiplantae; Streptophyta; Magnoliopsida; Rosales; Rosaceae
Description: long non-coding RNA (MDOM_LNC014645)
Source: RNAcentral